RNAcentral lists this ribosomal RNA (728 nucleotides) under Staphylococcus auricularis. RNAcentral's name for it is "bacterial SSU rRNA". It matches the Rfam family "Bacterial small subunit ribosomal RNA", at positions 62 to 772 of the family's 1533-position model. Lineage: Bacteria; Bacillati; Bacillota; Bacilli; Caryophanales; Staphylococcaceae. The record is from RNAcentral.
UCGAGCGAACAGAUAAGGAGCUUGCUCCUUUGACGUUAGCGGCGGACGGGUGAGUAACACGUGGGUAACCUACCUAUAAGACUGGAAUAACUCCGGGAAACCGGGGCUAAUGCCGGAUAACAUGUUGAACCGCAUGGUUCUACAGUGAAAGGCGGCUUUGCUGUCACUUAUAGAUGGACCCGCGCCGUAUUAGCUAGUUGGUGAGGUAAUGGCUCACCAAGGCAACGAUACGUAGCCGACCUGAGAGGGUGAUCGGCCACACUGGAACUGAGACACGGUCCAGACUCCUACGGGAGGCAGCAGUAGGGAAUCUUCCGCAAUGGGCGAAAGCCUGACGGAGCAACGCCGCGUGAGUGAUGAAGGUCUUCGGAUCGUAAAACUCUGUUAUUAGGGAAGAACAAAUGCGUAAGUAACUGUGCGCGUCUUGACGGUACCUAAUCAGAAAGCCACGGCUAACUACGUGCCAGCAGCCGCGGUAAUACGUAGGUGGCAAGCGUUAUCCGGAAUUAUUGGGCGUAAAGCGCGCGUAGGCGGUUUUUUAAGUCUGAUGUGAAAGCCCACGGCUCAACCGUGGAGGGUCAUUGGAAACUGAAAAACUUGAGUGCAGAAGAGGAAAGUGGAAUUCCAUGUGUAGCGGUGAAAUGCGCAGAGAUAUGGAGGAACACCAGUGGCGAANGCGACUUUCUGGUCUGUAACUGACGCUGAUGUGCGAAAGCGUGGGGAUCAAA